CGAACGGGUGAGUAACGCGUGAGGAACCUGCCUCAAAGAGGGGGACAACAGUUGGAAACGACUGCUAAUACCGCAUAAGCCCACGGCUCGGCAUCGAGCAGAGGGAAAAGGAGCAAUCCGCUUUGAGAUGGCCUCGCGUCCGAUUAGCUAGUUGGCGGGGUAACGGCCCACCAAAGCGACGAUCAGUAGCCGACCUGAGAGGGUGACCGGCCACAUUGGGACUGAGACACGGCCCAA
This 237-nucleotide ribosomal RNA is filed under the name uncultured bacterium. RNAcentral describes it as "partial 16S ribosomal RNA". It matches the Rfam family "Bacterial small subunit ribosomal RNA", at positions 99 to 334 of the family's 1533-position model. The record is from RNAcentral.